CAGUAGCCGCGGUAAUACGUAGGGUGCGAGCGUUAAUCGGAAUUACUGGGCGUAAAGCGUGCGCAGGCGGUUAUAUAAGACAGAUGUGAAAUCCCCGGGCUCAACCUGGGACCUGCAUUUGUGACUGUAUAGCUAGAGUACGGUAGAGGGGGAUGGAAUUCCGCGUGUAGCAGUGAAAUGCGUAGACAUGCGGAGGAACACCGAUGGCGAAGGCAAUCCCCUGGACCUGUACUGACGCUCAUGCACGAAAGCGUGGGGAGCAAACAGGAUUAGAUACCCGUGUAGUCCCUGUCUCUUAUCC
RNAcentral lists this ribosomal RNA (301 nucleotides) under uncultured bacterium. RNAcentral's name for it is "partial 16S ribosomal RNA". It matches the Rfam family "Bacterial small subunit ribosomal RNA", at positions 509 to 809 of the family's 1533-position model. The record is from RNAcentral.